RNAcentral lists this transfer RNA (70 nucleotides) under Ovis aries (sheep). It matches the Rfam family "tRNA". Rfam says of the family: Transfer RNA (tRNA) molecules are approximately 80 nucleotides in length. Their secondary structure includes four short double-helical elements and three loops (D, anti-codon, and T loops). The record is from Rfam by way of RNAcentral. Lineage: Eukaryota; Metazoa; Chordata; Mammalia; Artiodactyla; Bovidae.
UCCCUGGUGUCUAAUGAUAAAGAAUCUGCCUGUAAUGCAGGAGACCUGGGUUCGAUCCCUGGGUCGGGAA